This 497-nucleotide ribosomal RNA is filed under the name uncultured bacterium. RNAcentral's name for it is "partial 16S ribosomal RNA". It matches the Rfam family "Bacterial small subunit ribosomal RNA", at positions 28 to 507 of the family's 1533-position model. The record is from RNAcentral.
GAUGAACGCUGGCGGCGUGCCUAAUACAUGCAAGUCGAGCGAACAGACGAGGAGCUUGCUCCUCUGACGUUAGCGGCGGACGGGUGAGUAACACGUGGAUAACCUACCUAUAAGACUGGGAUAACUUCGGGAAACCGGAGCUAAUACCGGAUAAUAUAUUGAACCGCAUGGUUCAAUAGUGAAAGACGGUUUUGCUGUCACUUAUAGAUGGAUCCGCGCCGCAUUAGCUAGUUGGUAAGGUAACGGCUUACCAAGGCAACGAUGCGUAGCCGACCUGAGAGGGGGAUCGGCCACACUGGAACGGAGACACGGUCAAGACUCCUACGGGAGGCAGCAGUAGGGAAUCUUCCGAAAUGGGCGAAAGCCUGACGGAGCAACGCCGCGUGAGUGAUGAAGGUCUUCGGAUCGUAAAACUCUGUUAUUAGGGAAGAACAAAUGUGUAAGUAACUAUGCACGUCUUGACGGUACCUAAUCAGAAAGCCACGGCUAACUACGUG